AGCGAACGCUGGCGGCAGGCCUAACACAUGCAAGUCGAACGAACUCUUCGGAGUUAGUGGCGGACGGGUGAGUAACACGUGGGAACGUGCCUUUAGGUUCGGAAUAACUCAGGGAAACUUGUGCUAAUACCGAAUGUGCCCUUCGGGGGAAAGAUUUAUCGCCUUUAGAGCGGCCCGCGUCUGAUUAGCUAGUUGGUGAGGUAAAGGCUCACCAAGGCGACGAUCAGUAGCUGGUCUGAGAGGAUGAUCAGCCACAUUGGGACUGAGACAGGGCCCAAACUCCAACGGGGGGAGGAAGUGGGAAAUCUGCGGAAAGGGCGGAAGACCAACGGCGGCAAGCCGGGUUAAAUAAUAAGGGUCUAGGAAUGGAAAAAUUUUUUCACCGGGAAGGUUAUGAACGUACCCGGAGAAGAAGCCCCGGCUAACUUCGU
This 431-nucleotide ribosomal RNA is filed under the name uncultured bacterium. RNAcentral describes it as "partial 16S ribosomal RNA". It matches the Rfam family "Bacterial small subunit ribosomal RNA", at positions 29 to 506 of the family's 1533-position model. The record is from RNAcentral.